UACGGAGGAUCCAAGCGUUAUCCGGAAUCAUUGGGCUUAAAGGGUCCGUAGGCGGUUUAAUAAGUCAGUGGUGAAACCUGGUCGCUCAACGAUCAAACGGCCAUUGAUACUGUUAGACUUGAAUUAUUGGGAAGUAACUAGAAUAUGUAGUGUAGCGGUGAAAUGCUUAGAUAUUACAUGGAAUACCAAUUGCGAAGGCAGGUUACUGGCAAUAUAUUGACGCUGAUGGACGAAAGCGUGGGGAGCGAACAGG
This 253-nucleotide ribosomal RNA is filed under the name uncultured bacterium. RNAcentral's name for it is "partial 16S ribosomal RNA". It matches the Rfam family "Bacterial small subunit ribosomal RNA", at positions 524 to 776 of the family's 1533-position model. The record is from RNAcentral.